GGUGACUAACACAUGCAGUCGAGCGAGAACUUCGGUUCUAGCGGCGGACGGGUUAGUAACGCGUGGGAACGUGCCCUUCACUACGGAAUAGUCCCGGGAAACUGGGUUUAAUACCGUAUACGCCCUUCGGGGGAAAGAAUUUCGGUGAAGGAUCGGCCCGCGUUAGAUUAGAUAGUUGGUGGGGUAACGGCCUACCAAGUCUACGAUCUAUAGCUGGUUUUAGAGGAUGAUCAGCAACACUGGGACUGAGACACGGCCCAGACUCCUACGGGAGGCAGCAGUGGGGAAUCUUAGACAAUGGGCGCAAGCCUGAUCUAGCCAUGCCGCGUGAGUGAUGAAGGCCUUAGGGUCGUAAAGCUCUUUCGCCAGGGAUGAUAAUGACAGUACCUGGUAAAGAAACCCCGGCUAACUCCGUGCCAGCAGCCGCGGUAAUACGGAGGGGGUUAGCGUUGUUCGGAAUUACUGGGCGUAAAGCGCGCGUAGGCGGAUUGGAAAGUUGGGGGUGAAAUCCCAGGGCUCAACCCUGGAACUGCCUCCAAAACUAUCAGUCUAGAGUUCGAGAGAGGUGAGUGGAACUCCGAGUGUAGAGGUGAAAUUCGUAGAUAUUCGGAAGAACACCAGUGGCGAAGGCGGCUCACUGGCUCGAUACUGACGCUGAGGUGCGAAAGUGUGGGGAGCAAACAGGAUUAGAUACCCUGGUAGUCCACACC
This 710-nucleotide ribosomal RNA is filed under the name Roseovarius sp. Its description in RNAcentral is "bacterial SSU rRNA". It matches the Rfam family "Bacterial small subunit ribosomal RNA", at positions 43 to 801 of the family's 1533-position model. Lineage: Bacteria; Pseudomonadati; Pseudomonadota; Alphaproteobacteria; Rhodobacterales; Roseobacteraceae. The record is from RNAcentral.